This 378-nucleotide ribosomal RNA is filed under the name uncultured Planctomycetota bacterium. RNAcentral describes it as "bacterial SSU rRNA". It matches the Rfam family "Bacterial small subunit ribosomal RNA", at positions 521 to 896 of the family's 1533-position model. Lineage: Bacteria; Pseudomonadati; Planctomycetota. The record is from RNAcentral.
UAAUACGAAGGGCCCGAGCGUUGCGCGGAAUCAUUGGGCUUAAAGCGUACGUAGGCGGACACAUAGGCGCUUUGUGAAAUCCCUCGGCUCAACCGAGGAACUGCUUGGCGAACCAUGUGUCUUGAGGCAAGUAGGGGCUGUCGGAACGAUAGGUGGAGUGGUGAAAUGCGUUGAUAUCUAUCGGAACGCCGAAGGAGAAAUCAGGCAGCUGGGCUUGUUCUGACGCUGAGGUACGAAAGCGUGGGGAGCGAACGGGAUUAGAUACCCCGGUAGUCCACGCCGUAAGCGAUGUGCACUAGAUCGAGGGGACUCUGACGUCGCUCUUGGUCGAAGCGAAAGUGUUAAGUGCACCGCCUGGGGAGUACGGUCGCAAGGCUA